UGCGUAGGCGGAUUAAUAAGUCAGUGGUGAAAACCUGCAGCUUAACUGUAGAACUGCCAUUGAUACUGUUAGUCUUGAGUACGGUCAAGGUAGGCGGAAUGUGUAAUGUAGCGGUGAAAUGCUUAGAUAUUACACAGAACACCGAUUGCGAAGGCAGCUUACUGGGCCAUUACUGACGCUGAGGCACGAAAGCGUGGGGAGCAAACAGGAUUAGAUACCCUGGUAGUCC
This 229-nucleotide ribosomal RNA is filed under the name uncultured bacterium. RNAcentral describes it as "partial 16S ribosomal RNA". It matches the Rfam family "Bacterial small subunit ribosomal RNA", at positions 568 to 796 of the family's 1533-position model. The record is from RNAcentral.